This 258-nucleotide ribosomal RNA is filed under the name uncultured bacterium. RNAcentral describes it as "partial 16S ribosomal RNA". It matches the Rfam family "Bacterial small subunit ribosomal RNA", at positions 96 to 354 of the family's 1533-position model. The record is from RNAcentral.
UGGCGGACGGGUGAGUAACGCGUGGGCAACCUGCCCCGUNCCGGGGGAUACCGCCUGGAAACAGGCGCUAAUACCGCAUAAGCGCAUACAGCCGCAUGGCAGUAUGCGGAAAGCUCCGGCGGCACGGGAUGGGCCCGCGCCCGAUUAGCCAGUUGGCGGGGUAACGGCCCACCAAAGCGACGAUCGGUAGCCGGCCUGAGAGGGCGGACGGCCACAUUGGGACUGAGACACGGCCCAAACUCCUACGGAAGGCAGCAG